AUGAACGCUGGCGGCGUGCCUCAUACAUGCAAGUCGAGCGAACAGAUGAGGAGCUUGCUCCUCUGACGUUAGCGGCGGACGGGUGAGUAACACGUGGAUAACCUACCUAUAAGACUGGGAUAACUUCGGGAAACCGGAGCUAAUACCGGAUAAUAUAUUGAACCGCAUGGUUCAAUAGUGAAAGACGGUUUUGCUGUCACUUAUAGAUGGAUCCGCGCCGCAUUAGCUAGUUGGUAAGGUAACGGCUUACCAAGGCAACGAUGCGUAGCCGACCUGAGAGGGUGAUCGGCCACACUGGAACUGAGACACGGUCCAGACUCCUACGGGAGGCAGCAGUAGGGAAUCUUCCGCAAUGGGCGAAAGCUUGACGGAGCAACGCCGCGUGAGCGAUGAAGGUCUUCGGAUCGUAAAACUCUGUUAUUAGGGAAGAACAAAUGUGUAAGUAACUAUGCACGUCUUGACGGUACCUAAUCAGAAAGCCACGGCUAACUACGUG
RNAcentral lists this ribosomal RNA (496 nucleotides) under uncultured bacterium. RNAcentral's name for it is "partial 16S ribosomal RNA". It matches the Rfam family "Bacterial small subunit ribosomal RNA", at positions 29 to 507 of the family's 1533-position model. The record is from RNAcentral.